AUGAACGCUGGCGGCGUGCCUAAUACAUGCAAGUCGAGCGAACAGAUGAGGAGCUUGCUCCUCUGACGUUAGCGGCGGACGGGUGAGUAACACGUGGAUAACCUACCUAUAAGACUGGGAUAACUUCGGGAAACCGGAGCUAAUACCGGAUAAUAUAUUGAACCGCAUGGUUCAAUAGUGAAAGACGGUUUUGCUGUCACUUAUAGAUGGAUCCGCGCCGCAUUAGCUAGUUGGUAAGGUAACAGCUUACCAAGGCAACGAUGCGUAGCCGACCUGAGAGGGUGAUCGGCCACACUGGAACUGAGACACGGUCCAGACUCCUACGGGAGGCAGCAGUAGGGAAUCUUCCGCAAUGGGCGAAAGCCUGACGGAGCAACGCCGCGUGAGUGAUGAAGGUCUUCGGAUCGUAAAACUCUGUUAUUAGGGAAGAACAAAUGUGUAAGUAACUAUGCACGUCUUGACGGUACCUAAUCAGAAAGCCACGGCUAACUACGU
Molecule: ribosomal RNA, 495 nt
Filed under: uncultured bacterium
Lineage: Bacteria
Description: partial 16S ribosomal RNA
Rfam family: Bacterial small subunit ribosomal RNA
Source: RNAcentral